RNAcentral lists this RNase P RNA (309 nucleotides) under uncultured Eubacterium sp. Its description in RNAcentral is "Bacterial RNase P class A". It matches the Rfam family "Bacterial RNase P class A". Rfam says of the family: Ribonuclease P (RNase P) is a ubiquitous endoribonuclease, found in archaea, bacteria and eukarya as well as chloroplasts and mitochondria. Its best characterised activity is the generation of mature 5'-ends of tRNAs by cleaving the 5'-leader elements of precursor-tRNAs. The record is from RNAcentral. Lineage: Bacteria; Bacillati; Bacillota; Clostridia; Eubacteriales; Eubacteriaceae.
CAGACGGUUGCGCACUCAGGUGUGGAAAGUCCGAGCAGCACAGAGCAGGAUAACGGCUAACGGCCGCCGGGGGUGACCCUCGGGACAGUGCAACAGAAAUAAACCGCCACUUUUUUGUGGUAAGGAUGGAAAGGCGAGGUAAGAGCUCACCGAGAGGGUGGUAACAUCCUCUGCCAUGUAAACCCUAUCCGCUGCAACAUCGACAGGAGGGACGGUUGCUCGCCGCAUAACUCCGAAGGAUGGCUUGAGCACGGUGGUAACAUCGUGUCGAGAUAGAUAAUCGUCCAAGACAGAACUCGGCUUACAGAC